AUGGAAGAAAGGCACCCGAGCGGCGCACACAAAGCAACAGACGCAAACACCCUGGAUCUUCUUUUCCCAGCUGCAAAAUUGCUGCCGCAAGCCUCAACUAUUUCGGACCAUUGCCCCUUGAUGCUGGUCAAUGACGGCAUCAUAUGCAUCAACCGUCGGUUCCGUUUCGAGAGCUACUGGCAGUUCAUUGCCGGCUUCAACGAGGUGGUGCAACAAGCUUGGAUGGAGGGCACAGGCAGCAGAUGCCCAAUCGCUCGCCUGAACACAAAGCUUUGGCGCACAAGCAAAGCGCUUAGGAACUGGAGCAGGGUGCAUGUGGGCGAUUUGCAGCGGCAACUUGGGAUCGCCACGGAGUUGAUCUUUCAGCUGGAAACUGCUCAGGAGUUCCGCCAACUCACUGAAGAUGAGCGCGAGCUGCGUACCAAACUUAAGUCUAGGACAUUGGGGUUGGCUGUGCUACUUAAGAUCAAGAGAAGGCAACGCAGCAGGGUCUUAUGGCUUAAGGCCGGGGAUGCCAACACAAAGUUCUUUCACAGGAAAGCCAAUGCUCGGCACAAGAGGAACACAAUCCAUGUCUUGCAUGGGGCGCAGGGGCCCGUUACCUCGCCUGAAGCAAUGACACAAUUGGCACACUCGUAUUUCACGGAGAUUUUUGGACAAAUUCAGACUCCCACUACCGCCUUCGACUGGGAUGAGCUUGAGCUUGAGCAGACUGGUAGCUGGGUGGCCACUACCAACAUCAAGGAAUGGAUGAUAUCUUGCUGGAGUAAAGCCGCAUCUGAUAAGAGGAAAGGAGUUCUUUCUUUGAUGCAUCUAGUCUCCUGGGAGAUAUGGCGUGAGCGCAACCGACCGAUUUUCCAGGACUUACGGAUGGAGAUACGCACCUUCGUGCAACGACUGAAGGACGAAAUCACUAUGUGGAACAUGGCAGAAGCUGGAAUUCCUUUUGACCCGGCCUCUCCCGAAUCCCACCGCCACGGCUGCCGCUCGCCGUCCGUACGUGUCGUCGGCGCCAGCUUCCCCCCACCACCGCCAUGCUCAAGGUACUCACUCAUCCCCCCCUUCCCCUUCCCUUCCCUUCCCUUCCUGCGGUCCUGUCUUCAACCUCUCUGGUGUCCUCUUCUGACCUUUCGUCUUACUUCCUCCGGCCUCGUCAAUGGGUACGACGACGGAAGCCAGUCCGGCCUUCCCUUCAACACAAGUGCACCAGCCAACUGGCGCAAGCUGUACAUUGACGGCAUACAGUUUCGGUCUUCCAGUCAACAUAAGUUAUCAUUCGUACUAGUCCGUUUUUCUGUGACACGAUUAGCACGACUUAAGAGGCACACCCAUCUACGUGCCAGUUGCCUGAAUCAGGAGGGCGAGGAAGCAGAAUUCAGCCGUGUAGCGCAACAUACUCAUGAAGAAUUUACUCCUGCACGCGCUAUGCAGGUGGAGGAGAAGCAGUUCGCGUGGAAGUUCCGUGUCUCUGAUGCCUGA
RNAcentral lists this ribosomal RNA (1479 nucleotides) under Triticum aestivum (bread wheat). Its description in RNAcentral is "partial small subunit ribosomal RNA". Lineage: Eukaryota; Viridiplantae; Streptophyta; Magnoliopsida; Poales; Poaceae. The record is from RNAcentral.